CGUGAAAUUGUUGAAAGGGAAGCGCUUGCAACCAGACUUGCACGCGGUUGAUCAUCCGGUGUUCUCACCGGUGCACUCGACCGUGUUCAGGCCAGCAUCGGUUCAGGUGGUGGGAUAAAGGCCUUGGGAAUGUAGCUUCUUUCGGGGAGUGUUAUAGCCCUCGGUGCAAUGCCGCCUACCUGGACCGAGGACCGCGCUUCGGCUAGGAUGCUGGCGUAAUGGUUGUAAGCGACCCGUCUUGAAACACGG
This 249-nucleotide ribosomal RNA is filed under the name Hyphodiscus sp. Its description in RNAcentral is "partial large subunit ribosomal RNA". It matches the Rfam family "Eukaryotic large subunit ribosomal RNA", at positions 398 to 664 of the family's 3401-position model. Lineage: Eukaryota; Fungi; Ascomycota; Leotiomycetes; Helotiales; Hyphodiscaceae. The record is from RNAcentral.